RNAcentral lists this unclassified non-coding RNA (210 nucleotides) under uncultured Serendipitaceae. Its description in RNAcentral is "sequence contains ITS2". The record is from RNAcentral. Lineage: Eukaryota; Fungi; Basidiomycota; Agaricomycetes; Sebacinales; Serendipitaceae.
UAAUCUCACUACAAUCGACUUUUUGUCUUUUGCUAUGUGGACUUGGAUGUUGUCGUGGAUUUCCAUGACUCGUCUGAAAUGCCUGAGUGUACCCUGCUUUGCGGCGUAUUCGGUGUGAUAAAUCUUCACCGGAGUUGAUCCUUUUUGGGUCGCGUCUAUAUGAGUGUGGCUCUAUGCUUCCAACCGUCUUCAAGGAGACAAUCUCUGACA